GGUUCGAUGGUGUAGUUGGUUUAUCACUUCUGUCUAACAGCGAACCUCCUGCGUUUCCUGGUGCACAGGCGGUCCUCAGUUCGAGCCUGGGUCGAAUCA
Mycena vulgaris is the source of this 99-nucleotide non-coding RNA. The record is from the annotation of a GenBank genome assembly. NCBI's taxonomy places the organism in Eukaryota, Fungi, Basidiomycota, Agaricomycetes, Agaricales, Mycenaceae.